CGCCGGCGACCGGCGCACGGGUGAGUAACACGUAUGCAACCUGCCCGUGGCAGGGGGAUAAGCGGGGGAAACCCCGUCUAAUACCGCGUAACGCGGCCUAGGGACAUCCCAAGGCCGCCAAAGGGAGCAAUCCCGGCCACGGAUGGGCAUGCGGCGCAUUAGCUAGUCGGCGGGGUAACGGCCCACCGAGGCGACGAUGCGUAGGGGUUCUGAGAGGAAGGCCCCCCACACUGGUACUGAGACACGGACCAGACUCCUACGGGAGGCAGCAG
RNAcentral lists this ribosomal RNA (272 nucleotides) under uncultured bacterium. Its description in RNAcentral is "partial 16S ribosomal RNA". It matches the Rfam family "Bacterial small subunit ribosomal RNA", at positions 86 to 354 of the family's 1533-position model. The record is from RNAcentral.